GCAGAGCUGGGAUAUAAACACCCAGGUCUAUCCAAUUCUCUAAGCCCGUUUUUCUUGCUGGGGAUGGGGGCACAGAUAGGAAGGGGAAAAUUAAUCUUUUGUUCACUUUUUGAAAGGAUGAUAACAUUUGCAUAGUCCAAAACUCAGAAGGUACAGAAGGGAAGUAUCUCCCGGCCAUCUUGUUGCUCUCUCCUGAAUUUUUUAUGAACCCUUGCAGACAUGUUUUAUGUAUAUUAUCACAGUAUGCACACACACACACACACAACGCACACACGUUUCCUCUUUCUACAGAAAUGGUAACAUACUAAAGGUACUCUUCUGUACCUUCACAGUACAAGUACCCAAUACCCCACCUAGGACUAGGACUUGCCCAAGACCACAGCCAGGUAAGGGCGGGGCAGGCACUUGGCCUCCAAGCUCUGCGUCCAGUGCUCACUCCCCACAGUACCCCCCAACUCACCCACAGCAGCUGACUCGGCCCCAGGCUGCCACUAAAAACCAUACAAAAAAGUAG
RNAcentral lists this long non-coding RNA (514 nucleotides) under Homo sapiens (human). Its description in RNAcentral is "non-protein coding lnc-GOLGA8O-4:1". The record is from RNAcentral. Lineage: Eukaryota; Metazoa; Chordata; Mammalia; Primates; Hominidae.